AGUCCAUGGUGUGGAUAUUUCCAUAGAAAAUCCCUACAUCUUUCCCACACUUCAUAUAAUGAUUCACCCUCUCGUUGGCAAAAAUUAGUUAUGUCCAUUCUAAAUUU
Molecule: small nucleolar RNA, 107 nt
Organism: Coffea eugenioides
Lineage: Eukaryota; Viridiplantae; Streptophyta; Magnoliopsida; Gentianales; Rubiaceae
Source: RefSeq, a predicted model, not a curated record